This 321-nucleotide ribosomal RNA is filed under the name Bacillus anthracis (anthrax bacterium). RNAcentral's name for it is "bacterial SSU rRNA". It matches the Rfam family "Bacterial small subunit ribosomal RNA", at positions 1150 to 1469 of the family's 1533-position model. The record is from RNAcentral. Lineage: Bacteria; Bacillati; Bacillota; Bacilli; Caryophanales; Bacillaceae.
UGCCGGUGACAAACCGGAGGAAGGUGGGGAUGACGUCAAAUCAUCAUGCCCCUUAUGACCUGGGCUACACACGUGCUACAAUGGACGGUACAAAGAGCUGCAAGACCGCGAGGUGGAGCUAAUCUCAUAAAACCGUUCUCAGUUCGGAUUGUAGGCUGCAACUCGCCUACAUGAAGCUGGAAUCGCUAGUAAUCGCGGAUCAGCAUGCCGCGGUGAAUACGUUCCCGGGCCUUGUACACACCGCCCGUCACACCACGAGAGUUUGUAACACCCGAAGUCGGUGGGGUAACCUUUUUGGAGCCAGCCGCCUAAGGUGGGACA